UCUUCGGUAGUAUAGUGGUUAGUAUCCCAGUCUGUCACGUUGGAGACCGGGGUUCGAUUCCCCGUCGAAGAG
Molecule: non-coding RNA, 72 nt
Organism: Symsagittifera roscoffensis
Lineage: Eukaryota; Metazoa; Xenacoelomorpha; Acoela; Convolutidae
Source: the annotation of a RefSeq genome assembly